Sciurus carolinensis (gray squirrel) is the source of this 832-nucleotide long non-coding RNA. RefSeq lists it as uncharacterized. Lineage: Eukaryota; Metazoa; Chordata; Mammalia; Rodentia; Sciuridae. The transcript is spliced from 4 exons. The record is from RefSeq and is a predicted model, not a curated record.
GCGGCAGGUCGCGUCUCUUCCUCGCCCGAGGGAAAGGCGAGGUCGGAAGCUAUUGCGCCCCGAACGGAAGCCAAACUGCUUGGACGCUAGAACCCUCCCCCUUUACCGGAACCAUCGCAUCUUCCAACGGAAACGUCUUGCCAAAAGGGCUUCUGCCUCUCCAAUUAACUGUCACUUGCCUCCUGACCCCUCCAUCUUUGCUCUUUCUGGAAGUGGAAGGACUUUUGGACACCUCACUCCUAGUCCUGUGUGUCAUCUUGAAUGAUUGCUUCUCUCUGGGGCUCAAUUUUCUCAUUUGACAACUUGGUCUGGCAAUUUCUGCCUUGCCUAAGCUCUGAUCCUACCAACACUGGAGCCAGAUGACCUCACCUACAAACUCUGUGAGGCAGGUUACUAACCUCUCUGUACCUUGGAUCCCAUCUGAAAAAAUGGGAAGAAUAGUGGUAACAAACUCAUAGAGCUGCUACAAGAUUAAAUGAGAUGAUAUAAGUAAAGUGAAUAAGCAGACCUGUUAUUGGAUAGUGCUAUCUGCAUCUCCAACCCAAACUUUCUCCUGAGCACCAGAAACUGGCCUCCUGAAUGUCCCCUCCUGGAGGCUGCACAGACAUCUUAAGCCUGUCUGUGAUGCAAAACAGGAUGCAUCACCUACUCCUGGAAACCUCCCAAACAAGAUUCCUCUCUUCCUGUGUUUCCUCGUCAUGUGGAUGAUAAGCGACACUGUCAUGCAUGCCAUUAUUUUGGUUUUGAACUUUAUUCUAAGAGUGAUGGGAGGUCUGAGGAUAUAGAUUACUUGCCUAGCAUGUGCAAAACCCUGGGUCCAGAUCCUCAGUAU